CAGGUAUGAACUCCUCAAUGAAAGUAAUCUAUAACAGGUAUGAACUCCUCAAUGAAAGUGAUCUAUAACAGGUAUGAACUCCUCAAUGAAAGUAAUCUAUAACAGGUAUGAACUCCUCAAUGAAAGUAAUCUAUAACAGGUAUGAACUCCUCAAUGAAAGUGAUCUAUAACAGGUAUGAACUCCUCAAUGAAAGUAAUCUAUAACAGGUAUGAACUCCUCAAUGAAAGUAAUCUA
This is a long non-coding RNA of Mytilus californianus (California mussel), 235 nucleotides long. RefSeq lists it as uncharacterized. The transcript is spliced from 3 exons. The record is from RefSeq and is a predicted model, not a curated record. NCBI's taxonomy places the organism in Eukaryota, Metazoa, Mollusca, Bivalvia, Mytilida, Mytilidae.